AGUGAACGCUGGCGGCGUGCCUAAUACAUGCAAGUCGAACGGAGUGGCGCACGGGUGAGGACUAUAUAGCUAAACUGCCCCUGGCUGGAGGACAACAGUUAGAAAUGACUGCUACUACUUCAUAGCAAGGGCUGAGACUCUAUCGUAUCAGUUAGUCGGUGGGGUAACGGCCUACCGAGGUUAUGACGCGUAACUGGUCUGAGAGGCUGAUCAGUCGCAUUGGAACUGAGACACGGUCCAAACUCCUACGGGAGGGAGCAGUAGGGAAUAUUGCGCAAUGGGGGAAACCCUGACGAAGCAACGCCGCGUGGAGGAUGACACUUGUCGGAGCGUAAACUCCUUUGGUAAGGGAAGCGGUACCUAACGAAUAAGCACCGGCUAACUCCGUGCCAGCAGCCGCGGUAAUAC
This 408-nucleotide ribosomal RNA is filed under the name uncultured bacterium. RNAcentral's name for it is "partial 16S ribosomal RNA". It matches the Rfam family "Bacterial small subunit ribosomal RNA", at positions 29 to 526 of the family's 1533-position model. The record is from RNAcentral.